Uloborus diversus is the source of this 600-nucleotide long non-coding RNA. RefSeq lists it as uncharacterized. Lineage: Eukaryota; Metazoa; Arthropoda; Arachnida; Araneae; Uloboridae. The record is from RefSeq and is a predicted model, not a curated record. The transcript has 3 exons.
AAGAAAAAGUUGAACUGACAUGCGCAAACUUUCGAUGUGAUCCUUGGUUCUUCCUAUCAAGGUCGAUAAGCGGUCUAUAAAAAUGUCUGGUCGAGUGCUUCGCUUAUGUCACACCAGCUCUCACAGUUGAUUUUCGUGCACAUCAUCUUUCUACUAGACAUCAGCGUCAGUUAUGACAAUGACUGCUUUGGUGGUUUUUCUCCUCUUCCUCUCUUUGCUUUGCACGGUGAUGUCUUACCCGUAUGGCUGGCCAGCACUUGGUUACAGCUACUACUAUGACGCUUAUGCACCCUAUGCCUAUGCUGGUUACGUUUCUCCUUACAACGCAUGGUGGUACAAAAGAUAGACACAAUUAAAUUUCUAAUAAAGGCUAUGUAAAAAAAUUUACAACAUGAAUAUCGUCCUGGUUAUAGCAGUGUGGCCCUCUUAUGGACUUGAUGUUACUGUUGCUUAAAACAUCCUUGCUUUAUUAUAUCGCUCUCUGCAUCAGCACAAACUAAGUCAGUCUGAAUGUGUGUUCGACAUUUUGUCACCCAAAAAUUGCAAAGGCUUUCUUAUUCUGUUCUUUCAAAAAGUGAAAUAAAUUCCUUUUAUGGCUGA